Long non-coding RNA from Carassius gibelio (silver crucian carp), 1807 nucleotides. RefSeq lists it as uncharacterized. NCBI's taxonomy places the organism in Eukaryota, Metazoa, Chordata, Actinopteri, Cypriniformes, Cyprinidae. The record is from RefSeq and is a predicted model, not a curated record. The transcript is spliced from 3 exons.
UAGAGUAUUCUAAAAUCAUCUAGGAACACAUCAGUAGCUCCUGAUAAGUUAUAAUGAAAAGGUCAAAGGUCGUGCACAACCGCCACCUUUUUCUUGGGCACCGGAAUGUUAUCAAAUGGCGACGUGUGCUUUUCAACAACAACACCGAUCUGUUAUGCUGAGGUGUGACGGAUAUUUCAAGCUCUGUUCAGACUGGAAGGACACUGAAACUCAAUGAAUAGAUAAAUGCUUCGAAAACAAAGAUGAGUGAUCCACUGUAUCCUACAAUCCUGGAAGAAACAGGCGGCAGAGUCUUUAUCCAACGCCUGCUCAACACAUUCCACAUUCCUCACAGAUGCCAUCUAUUAUCAUCUGACAUCAUCUCUAGGGUGGAGCUGGAGAGGAGCAGUCUGGUGACCUUUGGGGUCAUGGUGUCAGGUUUGUUUAGUCUGCCUUUUACUGAUCAUCACUCCUCAAGAGAUGGACACAGAGCACGCACCUGACAAAAGCACACAGAUAGAGAGGACAAAGCAUGAUGGAAGAGUGGGAGCGUCUAAACGCCUUUUAGUGUCAGCUUAUGAGUAAGGCUUUGUCACACAUGAAUACUGCAAAGAUGGAGAUGGAGGGGAUUUUUGUGUUUAUGUGUGUGUUGACUCCUCAAGGUCACAUAAAAGCCACUACACAAGGCCUUGUCUAACACCAACUACAUCUGUGUGGGAAAAUGUCCAGAGCGUGUACACAAAACUAUUUCUAUUGAUCGCUUCUCUCCUCUAUUUCUCUCUGAAAUUAAGCCAAACCACAAGGUUGUGUAAACUCACACAAACCUAUUCUCCUUCUAACAGAUAACAUUUGCUCAAUGCAAUUGGUAGGUCAGAUGAAAACAAGGAAAUAAAGUAGUAGAAAAACAACCGAAGCCUUUGAAUCUUCUAUGAUAUUGAUGCUAACUGCGUUCUCAUUGGUCAGUCCAGUCGUACAUGUAUUUAUUUAUGAACCAAAUAAAUGGGCAUCAAAAUGGCCAUUCAAAGGGCAACACUCUUCAACAAGCCGCAUGGUUUGAAAUAUUGUUAAUAGCAAAAUAAUGCAAGAGUUACAAUCUAAAGUAAUAUUUUAGGUUAGUAGUUGUUCAAAUUGACAUUCAAUGUACUUGUGUGUGCUCAGGUCCACCGUGAUUUUGCCAAGUAAGACAUGCUCCUGGAUCAACACUUUUGAUGAUCCUGGAUCAGCAUUAUUGUCCAAAAAUAUAGACUUAACCCAAUCCCUACCCCUAAACCUAACCUUACCUAUAAUUUAUUCCUAAAAUCAGUGGGAAAUGAUAGCUGAUUAACAAGAGUGUAGAAGCACCUAACCAUGAUUCCAAGCCUAAAACAGAUAUUUCCUGAAAAGUUACAUCUCCAUUCUGAUUGGUUGAUUAAAAUGUUGUUCCAGGAACAUGCUGUACUUGGUAAUAUUAACUCUCGCCGUGUGCUCAGUUAGGUGUGUUUUCAUCCAUGUACUGUACUCGAAUGUCCCCUGCUCAUCUAAGAUGUCCUGCAAUCGCCACAAGCAAUACAAAUGAAGAUCUACCUAACUGAAUGGUUUUGGUCUUCUCUUUGCUCCGACUCCCAUUCAUCAAACUCUGGACAGCCACUUUGCAUAUUGGGAUGGCUUUUUUAUUGUUCUGCAUUAGCUUUGUAAGACAAAAAGUGGGAAAUCAAUGCAAAUUUGAUUUGCAUAACUUGCUUAUGUCCAUUAUAGUCCGUGUGAAGAAUCUCAUCAUGUGGUUUACCCAUUUUAUAUUCCACAAAGGAACAUUAAAACUGAAUUGAAUUUAUGACAUGUACCACAGCUC